Sarcophilus harrisii (Tasmanian devil) is the source of this 2564-nucleotide long non-coding RNA. The record is from Ensembl. NCBI's taxonomy places the organism in Eukaryota, Metazoa, Chordata, Mammalia, Dasyuromorphia, Dasyuridae.
AGAAAUUUUCUAUUUUGUGAUCAGUAAUGAUCUCUAGUUCUUCUUUGGUCAUAAAGACCUUCCCCUUCCACAGGUCUGAGAGGUAAACUAUCCUGUGUUCCUCUAAUUUAUUAAUAAUUUCAUUCUUUAUGCCUAGGUCAUGAACCCAUUUUGACCUUAUCUUGGUGUACGGUGUUAAUUAUGGAUCAAUGCCUAGUUUCUGCCAUAUUAGUUUCCAAUUUUCCCAGCAAUUUUUAUCAAACAGUAAGUUCUUAUCCCAAAAGCUGGGAUCUUUGGGUUUGUCAAAGACUAGGUUGCUAUAUUUGUUGACUGUUUUAUCCCUUGAACCUAAUCUAUUCCACUGAUCAACUAAUCUAUUCCUUAGCCAGUACCAAAUACUUUUGGUAACUGCUGCUCUAUAAUAUAAUUUUAGAUCUGGUACAGCUAAGCCACCUUCAUUUGAUUUUUUUUUCAUUAAAUCCCUUGAAAUUCUUGACCUUUUGUUUGUUAUUUUUUCUAGGUCAUUAAAAUAGUUUUUUGGGAGAAUGAUUGGUAGAGUGCUAAACAAAUAGAUUAGUUUAGGUAGUAUUGUCAUCUUUAUUAUAUUUGCCUGCCCUAUCCAAGAGCAUUUAAUAUUUUUCCAAUUUGUUAGAUUAGACUUAAUUUGUGUGAAAAGUGGUUUGUAAUUUUGCUCAUAAAGUUUCUGAUUUUCCCUUGGCAGAUAGAUUCCUAAGUAUUUUAUACUAUCAGUAGUUACUUUAAAUGGAAUUUCUCUUUGUAACUCUGACUGUUGGAUUUUGUUAGUGACAUAUAAGAAUGCUGAUGACUUAUGUGGGUUUAUUUUAUAACCAGCAACUUUGCUAAAGUUGUGGAUUAUUUCUAACAACUUUUUAGCAGAAUCUCUGGGGUUCUCUAAGUAUACCAUCAUGUCAUCGGCAAAAAGUGAUAAUUUGGUUUCAUCAUUGCCUAUUCUUAUUCCUUUAAUCUCUUUCUCAGCUCUUAUUGCUAUAGCUAGCGUUUCUAAUACAAUAUUAAAUAGUAACGGUGAUAGUGGGCAACCUUGUUUCACUCAGAUCUUAUUGGGAAUGGUUUGCAGUUUGUCUCCAUUACAUAUGAUGCUUACUGAUGGUUUUAAAUAGAUGCUGCUGAUUAUUUUAAGGAAAAGUCCAUUUAUUCCUAUACUCUCAAGUGUUUUUAAUAGGAAUGGAUGUUGGAUUUUAUCAAAUGCUUUUUCUGCAUCUAUUGAUUGAGAUGAUCAUAUGGUUUUUGUUAAUUUGGUUAUUAACAUGGCCAAUUAUAUUGAUACUUUUCCUAAUAUUGAACCAGCCCUGCAUUCCUGGUAUAAAUCCUACUUGAUCACAGUGUAUUAUCUUGGAGAUGAUUUUCUGUAGUCUUUUUGCUAAUAUCUUAUUUAAGAUUUUAGCAUCAAUAUUCAUUAGGGAGAUUGGUCUAUAAUUUUCUUUCUCUGUUUUCAGCCUACCUGGUUUAGGUAUCAGUACCAUGUCUGUGUCAUAGAAGGAAUUUGGUAGGACUCCUUCAUUCCCAUUUUAUCAAAUAAUUUAUAUAGCAUUGGGGCCAAUUGUUCUUUAAAUGUUUGGUAAAAUUCACAUGUAAAUCCAUCUGGUCCUGGGGAUUUUUUCUUAGGAAGUUGUUUAAUUGCCUGUUCUAUUUCUUUUUCUGAAAUGGGACUAUUCAAGCAAUUUACUUCCUCCUCUGUUAGUCUGUGAAGUCUAUAUUUUUGGAGGUAGUCAUCCAUUUCCCUUAGGUUAUCAAAUUUAUUGGCAUAAAGUUGAGCAAAAUAACUCCUUAUUAUUUCUCUAAUUUCCUCUUCAUUGGUGGAAGUUCUCCCUUUUCAUUUUUAAGACUACUAAUUUCAUUUUCCUCUCUCCUUUUUCUAAUCAGAUUUACCAAAGGCUUAUCUAUUUUAUUGGCUUUUUCAUAGAACCAACUCUUAGUUUUAUUAAUUAGUUCAAUAGUUUUUUUACUUUCAAUAUUUUUAAUUUCUCCUUUUAAUUUUAGAAUUUCCAAUUUAGUAUUUGAUUGGGGGUUUUAAUUUGGUCUUUUUUUAGUUUUUUUAGUUGCAAGCCUAAUUCAUUAAUCUUUUCUUUCUCUGUUUUAUUCAAGUAAGCCUCUAAGGAUAUAAAAUUCCACCUUAUUACCACUUUGGCUGCAUCCCACAAAUUUUGGUAUGAUGUCUCAUCAUUGUCAUUAUCUUGAGUGAAAUUAUUAAUUGUAUCUAUAAUUUGCUGCUUCACCCAAUCAUUCUUUAAGAUGAGAUUGUUUAGUUUCCAAUUACUUUUGGUCUAUUUCCCCUAAUUUUUUGUUGAAUGUAGUUUUUAUUGCAUCAUGAUCUGAAAGAAAGCAUUUACUAUUUCUGCUUUCUUGCAUUUAAUUUUGAGGUCUUUAUGUCCUAAUAUAUGGUCAAUUUUUGAAUAGGUUCCAUGAACUGCUGAGAAGAAAGUAUAUUCCUUUCUAUCUCCAUUCAAUUUUCUCCAAAGAUCCAACAUACCUAAUUUUUCUAAUAUUCUAUUUACUUCUUUAAUUUCUUUCUUAUUUGUUUUGUGGUUUGAUUUGUCUAAUUCUGA